AAAAUCAGCCUUUAUUAAUAACAAAAUGUAUUUACAUAUAAUCAAGUGAUCACACCUGCAAUGUGCAAUCAACAUAUUGGCUGCAGGGCACAUAUACUAACAACUUCAAGGGUGACCAAAGUCAUGUUUUCUGCUUAAAGGAUCCAAACCCAAUUGACAAACUAGCCAGCAAACAAACAAUCAAAACCAGAUGUGACCAUUGUUGUUGCUCUGAUAAUUUAUAAUUCCAUUUUCAAAGUUCAAAAAGUAAUGAAUUAGAAAAAAAAAAUAUUACAAUAAGAAAAAAUGGUAAGUUUUUGCAAACAAUAACAAACACGCCGAUAAAUAAGAUGUACAAACCAUCAACAUGCCUAAGCUAGCAGGUUGCAAACACCAUCCAUCAAAACAAGUAGCUUUUUUGUAUAAGAAUAGCAUCAAAAAAGGCUAACCCAAUGCUUACUACUGAAUGGUCAAAGCCAACCAUGGCAGCAAAAUGAAAUAAAGCAUGGAGGAUAAACUCAGCACAAGACACCAUAAUUGAAGUAGGAUGGUCAUCACAAUCUGCAUACACCCACGUUUCUAUUAUCCAGGAAUAAAGAAUUAGCAAAACACCUCUCAAAUCAUUACAUUGGCGAAGAAAAGAACUUGCAGCAACAAAAGUAAAAAAGAAGCAGAAAAAAUGUAAUCAAAACAUAUGUAAGGCUCAAGACAGAACAUUUAUAGGAAAAAUCAAACUAAAAGUACGACCAUGGAGCACUUAUUUUCCAGAGAAUUAACUGCAAAUUCAAUAGAAGGUAAUAGUUAGUGAUAUGAACCAAUGGCUUCCACUGCCUUAGCAAAUGGAACUCAUCUACUUCCCUGUUGCCCUUAAAGAGAAACUUCCUAAGACACAGAAUCCGUGUUAGAUAUCAAAUUACCAAUCAAACCAUCAGUUCAGAUAUAGCAAUUCAGGACUAACAGUGAUGUCAUAUUGUUACCCUUAAAAUACAUAGUAUAAUCUCCAGUAUAAUAUUAAAAUAAAGUAAAAUAACAAAGUCCCCAAAACAAUAUAUGGGGGGGAAAAGAAGAGGAGGGAGAAGAAGGGAAGAGGAUGUUGGGGGGGAUAGAAAAACCACCUUAAAUGGCUGUGUCAAGUAAAACCUUCAUCUCUUUCUACCACCACGCUCUCUCAAAGAAAGAGACAGUGCCUCUCCUGCUCCAAUGUUGUAGUAGGCAAGUGACAUAUUAUCCUUCAAGAAACCAGCUUUUCCACUCAAUUUCUGUUUGUUUGCAGGAAGUUGGAUCUCUCCAGCAAUUUUCUCUUUCAGGCUGCCAACAGUUUCAGAUAAGGACUGCAUUGUGAUCUCCAGAACUUGCCCUUUCAGAUUUCCUUCAUCAACAUUCGGAACAGAAACAGUGAUGCAUACAGGUCCCGGAUGUUGUGCAAGAAACUGAUCUUCUGGAAUAAGCAUAGAAUCAAGCUUCUGUCUCUUGGGCUCUGGUUCAUCUGGAAGUGGUGGAGGAGCAUCCUCAGGUGGAGGUGGUGGAGGCACUCCUUGAGGCAAAGGUGGUGGUGGUGGCAUCAUACCAAUUGCUGAUGAAGGGACAGGAAGAGGGACAAAAGGUCGAGGAAUUGGCACAGGAGUAAACUGAGACCCAGGUGGAGGCGGAACUGGCAUGCUCGGUGGAUUUCCAGAUAUAGAUGGAGGCAUUGGAAGGGGCUGAUUCACCAUAAUGGUCUGCUGUCCAGGUGCUAAUGGCACUGGAGCCUGAAUAGGGCGAAUUGAUGGAAUCAUUGGCAUACCUGGUGGCCUUGGUGGAGGUACAGGAAAUGCACCACUAGUUGGAGCAGAGUAUUGGAUGGUAUUUGGAGGCAUGCGAGGUAGAUUCAAUGCUAGUCCUGGUGGUGGAGGUAAGGGACGAACUGAAGGCACACCAGGUCGAGGAGGAGGAGCUGCAGGACCAGGAAGGCUCCUUGCAUCAUCGAUAACAGCUUCACUUUGAUCCUCCCCAUUAACAAUUUGAGACAUAGCUUGGUUUGCUGUACGGCCAAUGCUUCCUGUGUGACCAUCCCAUAUGACCUGCUUUGGUUGCUCAUCUUUCUUCUUCUCAAUCUCUGCCUUAACUGCAUUAGAAACUUCUUCUUCGGUUGUACCAAAGAUAUCAGGACGAGUUCGUGCAAGUCCGACAAUGUUUCUAGAGAUUUCAUCAUCCUGAGCAAGAGUUGUUUCCCGGAUUUUUGCAAACAUCCUUUCCUUUUGUUCCUUGUACUUGGGAUCGAUUAGAGAAAUCCUCAUAUGCUCAGACAUCUCAUUAAUGGGAAUUAGCUCACCGGUGAUAGGGGAAACCCCAACCUUUGUUGGGUCCCUUUCAACGGGGAUCCUUUCCUCAGGCCUCUUCCAGUUCUUCACAAUUCUCAUUGGUUCUUCUGGUUCCUCAUUAGCCUUGGUGAAUUUCUUCUCACUAUCAUUCUCUUCAAGACUCGUUGCCCUCAUUCCUUCCUCAACAAGUUGCACCUCUUCUUCAUCCAUUUCCAUUUCCACCUCCUUUCCAGGCUCAAUGAUUUCAUCUUCAACCAUGGCAGAUACCUUGCUCCUCCUUAUAACCUCCUCAAGGGUCAUAGGAGGGGGCAAGUCCUCAUCCUCAUCAUCUGCAAAGUCUAUUGUCUCGACUGCUACAAAAUCAUGCCAAUCAAUCAUGGCCAUUUGGAUCCUCUCUUGCUCAAUCUCAUCCUCAGCUUUCUGCCUUGCCUGCUCCUGCGAGUGUUCCCACUCCAAGCGAUGCAAGCACCGUUCAAGCACAGUGGUCAUAUCAGCAGCACUUUUUGUCAGCUUCUCAGUCAACCCCUUAGGAGGCAUCAACACUUUUGAGUAUGCAUCAGCCAGUCCGGUAAAAAAUGUGAACAUGCUGUGAGUUGGCUUCAAAAAGUGGAACUGAGGAUUGUUCAUCUCCCUAUUUGUCAGACCAGUCAAGAAAGCUUGGCCAUUUCGAGCCACAAACUGGGCUGUGAGCUUAAUAAUAUCAAGUUCCUCUCCAGUGAUCCCCUCAGGAAGCCGAAUGGUAUACUGCUCAGCCUCUGGGGGUUCAAGAACUUUACGAGGAGGUGGUCUAAACUGGGCUGUGGGGUCAGGCCUUGGAGCAGUGUCAGUGGCAUCAGUAACAGGAGCAGACGGGGUUGACUCAGUGGCAUCAGAAUCUGAAGGUUGUGAAGGAGGCUGCUGAGCAGAAGAUUGAUUCAGUGCACGAAAUUCAGAUAAAUGAUGUUGAUAAUAUGCAUGGUAUGGAUCUGAGGGAUUCAAAAAAUUGAACUUGGCAUUGUUAGCAUUAUUGGCAAUGAUCCUUUUUUCAAACUCAGGUCCAUUUUUUGCAACAAACUGUGCAGUUUUGUCUACAAUAUUCCUAAUAUCCGGAGGAGGAUGAAUGAUUCCAAUAGUUCUUGUGUGGGUUGCAACCGGGGCUUUGUUCUGGUCAUCACUUGCUGUUUUAUCUUCCUUAGAUGACUGCUGUUCUAACACUUGAGAAGGGGGAGCAGAGCUGUCUCCACUAGGAGGAGGUGCUGGAAGAGGCAAGAUUGCUGUGCCAGGCAUUUUUUUUUCCACCAGAAUUUCAGCAGGUAUAAGGAAAGGAAAUCAAAGCCAAAAGAACCAGAAGUUCUUCAGAUUCCUACCAUUGGAGUUCUCUGACCCAAAAUAAGAAAAACCCUGCAGAUAACAACUUCCAGAGAAAAAAUAUUUAGUUCAAGGAAAAAUAAGUGACUAUAAAAUAAAACUUCAGUUCACAUAGGCCUAAAACGGAGCCCCCAUUCUGCUGCACAACUUAGCUUAAUAUCGCAUCAACCAGCAAAGAGGAUAUUGAAUCUGAAAUGAAAAACAAAAUUCUUAAAAUCUCUGCCUUCAGAUAAAUCCAUUAACAGGGAACAAUUUAUCCUCUUCUAAUUUGUUAACCACAGAUGCUAUUGUAUUGAUUUGAUUGGUUAAAUUAAUUAAGUUAUCAAUAAAAAUAAAUAAAUAAAAUAAAACCCAUAAACCGUAAGCACAAAAAACUCCAAUCAAUUGAUAAAAAAAAAAAAAGAAUGAAACUUCAUCAAGGACUCGAACAAUGGAACAUCAAGAAAAAUCUAUAUUUAAUUGAGCAAAUCAACGGAUUAGAAAGAACUCACCAGCAGAGAAGUAGAAUUAGGCUUUUUGGAUGUGUGAGGCCGGAAAUGUCUUUGCUCUUCCCCAAUCGAAUUUUUAUGUAGAGACUAGAAAGAGAUAUCAAUUUGGUAUUUUGGUAGGGUCUGGUAACAGGUAGGGACCCGCGAAAAUAAAGGUGACCGAAUCCGAACCCGCCCCAACCGAUUAGAAUUUAUCUUCUACUAACCAUAACAAUCCCAAACACGUUUACCACUACCCGCAUACUACCCAAACCUUUUUUUUUUUUACUGAAAGUUUGAUCGUAGGAGAUGUGCGGGUCAGACACCAGAACCGAAAUGUUAAAAAAACCUUGGCAACGGAAUUUUAGAUUUUAAAAUAAUUAAAUAAAAAU
This 4485-nucleotide unclassified non-coding RNA is filed under the name Hevea brasiliensis (rubber tree). The record is from RNAcentral. Lineage: Eukaryota; Viridiplantae; Streptophyta; Magnoliopsida; Malpighiales; Euphorbiaceae.